GUUGGUGAACCAGCGGAGGGAUCAUUACAGAGUUGCAAAACUCCAACAAACCAUCGCGAAUCUUACCCGUACGGUUGCCUCGGCGCUGGCGGUCCGGAAGGCCCUCGGGCCCCCGGAUCCUCGGGUCUCCCGCUCGCGGGAGGCUGCCCGCCGGAGUGCCGAAACCAAACUCUUGAUAUUUUAUGUCUCUCUGAGUAAACUUUUAAAUAAGUCAAAACUUUCAACAACGGAUCUCUUGGUUCUG
RNAcentral lists this unclassified non-coding RNA (244 nucleotides) under rhizosphere metagenome. RNAcentral describes it as "partial ribosomal RNA internal transcribed spacer region". The record is from RNAcentral.